AUUAAUAUUAGGAACAGGGGAAUGACAAAGGACCUCCUCAAGGAGAGAGGAAAAUUUUAAAAAUUAGUUUUUUGUCUUUGUGUGACUUUGAAAGCUAGAGGACAGCUGAGUUUUCCAGCAGAAAAAGAAGCAGGAGACAUGUAUAAAAAAUACAAGAGGCAGCACAGGAGAGUCAAGACAAAGAUGCAAGUUCCUGCUUUUGGAUUUAGAGGUCAGCCCUGAUUGAAUGAGUUUGCAUGACGUCAGCUCCUAAGUCAUCCUCUGAGAGGUGCUUUGGAAUAGAAAACAGGAGUGGCUGGAGCCUAAUGAUUCAUACCCAGGUGGUCCUCAGAGGAGGGAGAAGGUGAAGAAAAGCAAACUGGUAACUUCAGCUUAGUAAUACUGAAAAAAAGAAAUCUCUUUGGUAAGAGAGAAUACCGACUGUAAGAGAAUUGGAACGUUGCUCUAAUUGAAAGGAAUGCUGAACUAAUGUUUGUAUUAGAAUAAAUUACUGGAAAAAAACA
RNAcentral lists this long non-coding RNA (503 nucleotides) under Parus major (Great Tit). RNAcentral's name for it is "lncRNA (ENSPMJG00000008212.1)". Lineage: Eukaryota; Metazoa; Chordata; Aves; Passeriformes; Paridae. The record is from RNAcentral.